UGAAGUGCACAUGGUGGAUGCCUUGGCAGUCAGAGGCGAUGAAAGACGUGGUAGCCUGCGAUAAGCUUUGGGGAGUCGGCAAACAGACUGUGAUCCAGAGAUCUCUGAAUGGGGGAACCCAGCCAGCAUAAGCUGGUUAUCUUGUACUGAAUACAUAGGUGCAAGAGGCGAACCAGGGGAACUGAAACAUCUAAGUA
This 197-nucleotide ribosomal RNA is filed under the name Aurantiochytrium limacinum. Its description in RNAcentral is "partial Bacterial large subunit ribosomal RNA". It matches the Rfam family "Bacterial large subunit ribosomal RNA", at positions 1 to 208 of the family's 2925-position model. The record is from RNAcentral. Lineage: Eukaryota; Bigyra; Thraustochytrida; Thraustochytriidae.